GGGCCCGUAGCUCAGCUGGAUAGAGCAGCGACCUUCUAAGUCGCCGGUCGCAGGUUCGAGUCCUGCCGGGCCUGCGA
This 77-nucleotide transfer RNA is filed under the name Bacteroidota bacterium. RNAcentral describes it as "Bacteroidetes bacterium (marine metagenome) tRNA-Arg". It matches the Rfam family "tRNA". From Rfam's summary of the family: Transfer RNA (tRNA) molecules are approximately 80 nucleotides in length. Their secondary structure includes four short double-helical elements and three loops (D, anti-codon, and T loops). Further hydrogen bonds mediate the characteristic L-shaped molecular structure. tRNAs have two regions of fundamental functional importance: the anti-codon, which is responsible for specific mRNA codon recognition, and the 3' end, to which the tRNAs corresponding amino acid is attached (by aminoacyl-tRNA synthetases). tRNAs cope with the degeneracy of the genetic code in two manners: having more than one tRNA (with a specific anti-codon) for a particular amino acid; and 'wobble' base-pairing, i.e. permitting non-standard base-pairing at the 3rd anti-codon position. The record is from RNAcentral. RNAcentral also lists the same sequence under 1 other name. Lineage: Bacteria; Pseudomonadati; Bacteroidota.